AGAGUUUGGUCCUGGCUCAGGAUGAACGCUAGCGGCAGGCUUAACACAUGCAAGUCGAGGGGUAGCAGGAGUAGCAAUACUUGCUGACGACCGGCGCACGGGUGAGUAACGCGUAUGCAACCUACCUCUAACUGAGGCAUAGCCCGGAGAAAUCCGGAUUAAUACCUCAUAAUAUUUCGAAUUCGCAUGUUUUCGAAAUUAAAGCUUUGGCGGUUAGAGACGGGCAUGCGUGACAUUAGUUAGUUGGUGAGGUAACGGCUCACCAAGACUGCGAUGUCUAGGGGGUCUGAGAGGAUGGUCCCCCACACUGGUACUGAGACACGGACCAGACUCCUACGGGAGGCAGCAGUGGGGAAUAUUGGGCAAUGGACGCAAGUCUGACCCAGCCAUGCCGCGUGCAGGAUGACUGCCCUAUGGGUUGUAAACUGCUUUUAUUUGGGAAGAAACCCCUGCUCGUGAGCAGGGCUGACGGUACCAAAAGAAUAAGCAUCGGCUAACUCCGUGCCAGCAGCCGCGGUAAUACGGAGGAUGCAAGCGUUAUCCGGAUUUAUUGGGUUUAAAGGGUGCGCAGGCGGGAGAUUAAGUCAGUGGUGAAAUCCUGCAGCUUAACUGUAGAAUUGCCAUUGAUACUGAUUUUCUUGAGUGCAGUUGAGGUGGGUGGAGUGUAAUGUAGCGGUGAAAUGCUUAGAUAUUACACAGAACACCGAUUGCGUAGGCAGCUCACUAAACUGUUACUGACGCUCAGGCACGAAAGCGUGGGGAGCGAACAGGAUUAGAUACCCUGGUAGUCCACGCCGUAAACUAUGAUCACUCGUUGUUGGCAAUAAACCGUCAGCGACUAAGCUAAAGCAAUAAGUGAUCCACCUGGGGAGUACGGUCGCAAGAUUGAAACUCAAAGGAAUUGACGGGGGCCCGCACAAGCGGAGGAACAUGUGGUUUAAUUCGAUGAUACGCGAGGAACCUUACCUGGGCUUAAAUGCAGAACGAUUUCCGCCGAAAGGUGGUUUCCUUCGGGCGUUUUGCAAGGUGCUGCAUGGUUGUCGUCAGCUCGUGCCGUGAGGUGUCGGGUUAAGUCCCAUAACGAGCGCAACCCUCAUCGUUAGUUGCCAUCGGGUAAUGCCGGGGACUCUAACGAAACUGCCGGUGUAAACCGUGAGGAAGGUGGGGAUGACGUCAAAUCAGCACGGCCCUUAUGUCCAGGGCUACACACGUGUUACAAUGGCCAGUACAAAGGGCAGCUACCUGGUGACAGGAUGCUAAUCUCUAAAACUGGUCUCAGUUCGGAUCGAAGUCUGCAACUCGACUUCGUGAAGGUGGAUUCGCUAGUAAUCGCGCAUCAGCAACGGCGUGGUGAAUACGUUCCCGGGCCUUGUACACACCGCCCGUCAAGCCAUGGAAGCUGGGGGUGCCUGAAGUUCGUAACCGUAAGGAGCGACCUAGGGUAAAACUAGUGACUGGGGCUAAGUCGUAACAAGGUA
RNAcentral lists this ribosomal RNA (1478 nucleotides) under metagenome. RNAcentral's name for it is "bacterial SSU rRNA". It matches the Rfam family "Bacterial small subunit ribosomal RNA". The record is from RNAcentral.